Lupinus albus (white lupine) is the source of this 893-nucleotide non-coding RNA. Lineage: Eukaryota; Viridiplantae; Streptophyta; Magnoliopsida; Fabales; Fabaceae. The record is from the annotation of a GenBank genome assembly.
UGUACUUAUUAUUACUCAUUCCAUGAUAGUUGCUAUUGUAAAUACUAAUAUCGGCUUUUGAGUCUUCCAAUUAUUAUUAGUAUAUAGUUCUUUCACCAAAUAAAUUAAAUGAAAUUGUUGUUCUUUCUUUCAGAUUGGAUUGCUUUUAAUUGAUUUCUUUCCGAUGGGAGUCUUUUCAGAAUGCAGGUGCAGUUUAUUAUAUUUCUAACCUGCUCUGCAUUUGCAAGUGCCUCAGCUUUUGUUUCUCAAUCUUUUAGGUAUGUGCUUAGUCUUGAACUCUUGAUUUCUUUCCUAGUCAUAGGAAGUAGGUGAAUGUGUUAAAUCCUGUUAUGAAUAGGAUCUGAUCCUUUUCGCACUCUUCUUUUGCUCGAUUGAUUUCGAUCAAAUCCGUUGUCGACAUUUGUUGAAUUCUUCUUUUUGUUGAAUAACUCCUUGUCUGUAGCUUUGUGAGUAUGUUGAUUCUGCAGCAUUAUCCUGUGGUCUUCUUGGCUGUGUCUGAGUGCAAUUUCUAAACUUGUCAUACCCAACACACUCUCUUGUUGAACUGAUAAGAACCCAAAGAAGAGGAGAAGCAUGAUUAUUCUAGAAAUAUGAAGCACCAUUUUGUCUUCACUCAGAAACAAGAAUAGAAGCACACGAGGAUUUCAAUUUUCAUUAUCCUUUCAUCAGAAACUGUUUGCCUAAGUAUAGGUUGGAUCAAUGAAGCAUGGACAAUUUAAAAUAGCAGUGUCCUUAUCUGGUCAUUCCUAGACAUGUGAGAUCAGCUACGUGGAUGAAGCGACAUCAUAAUAUUCUAUCAUAUCCUGUCAUUUUUAAAAUUUGCCAUAUCCCAAUGUAUUUGUGCCUUAUCAGGUCACAGAUUUUCCUACAACAUUUUACAUUACAUAUUUGUA